UCCUGGCCCUAAACGAUGUUCACUAGGUGUUAAUGGUAUCGACCCCAUUGGUGCCGCAGCUAACGCGUUAAGUGAACCGCCUGGGAAUUACGACCGCAAGGUUAAAACUCAAAAGAAUUGACGGGGGCCCGCACAAGCAGUGGAGCAUGUGGUUCAAUUCGAUGCUACGCGAAUAACCUUACCUGGGUUUGACAUGCUAGUAGUAAGAGCCUGAAAGGGUGAUGAUCUAUCUUUGAUAGAAGCUAGCACAGGUGCUGCAUGGCUGUCGUCAGUUCGUGUCGUGAGAUGUUGGGUUAAGUCCCACAACGAACGCAACCCCUAU
This 322-nucleotide ribosomal RNA is filed under the name uncultured bacterium. Its description in RNAcentral is "bacterial SSU rRNA". It matches the Rfam family "Bacterial small subunit ribosomal RNA", at positions 794 to 1108 of the family's 1533-position model. The record is from RNAcentral.